RNAcentral lists this long non-coding RNA (1543 nucleotides) under Apteryx owenii (little spotted kiwi). RNAcentral describes it as "lncRNA (ENSAOWG00000006557.1)". Lineage: Eukaryota; Metazoa; Chordata; Aves; Apterygiformes; Apterygidae. The record is from RNAcentral.
AUGAUCUGUGUCAGCCCUCAGCAGCAAUGCUCUGAGGGAAGCACUGCAUGUCACGAGCUGUGCCAGUCCUCAGCAGCAACGCUCCGAGGGAAACACUGCAUGUCACGAGCUGUGAGGCGGCAGCUGGGAGCUCCUCUCAGGGGAGCAGCGGUGUGCAGCAAGGGCCACAGGAUCCCUGCAGGGAGCCCCCCGAGCAGCCAGCGAUCUGGGUCAAGACACAGCAGGGACCCAGCCAAAAAUAAAGGAGCGCCUGGGGGCGGAGAAGGUACCGCGGGUGCAUGCGAUGAGUUGUGCCAGCCCUCAGCACGGGGCGCUGCUCCGGCGCAUCAGCCGGGCCGCCCGCCCCCCGGGGAGCGAAAAAAGUCCCCAAGGGGAGAGGGACCGAACGGGAGAGCGAGAGAGAGCGCAGCCAGUGCCCCGCGGCUAUUGGCUGCCCCCGCCGUCCAUCCCACCUCCACCACCAAUAGCAAAGCAAGGCCCCUGCCGGUAAAAAGGGGAGGGAACCGCUCAGCCCCGCCUGGACCAAUAGCGCGGGAGAAGAUCUUGGGCUUGCAGAACAGGAACUCAGCGCACUUGUCAAGACACAGGAAAAUGCAGAGAGAAGCGAGCCUCCAGCGCCUAAACACCAAGCCACAUUUUACCAGGGCAUAAGCAGCUUUGGGCAUGGGCAGCUCUAUACCAGUGCAGCUCUCCAAGAUGCGUGAGGCCGCUGCACAGAACUCUUCACUGACCUCUGUGAAAGAUUAUACAGUGGACAUGGCAGCCAAGUCGUAUGCCAGGGUCAAAAAGACAGUAUUUCAACUGCUCUUUGACUGAUGUGGCUGCAACUUCUCACUUCCACUCUUCAGGGAAAAUACAGUUUGCCCCAUGCUUACAGGAGGAAGAAGAAAGAGUGGUCCCUUAGGCUCAUGAAACCACGGUUCUCCAAGACGUAUCAGCAGGACCCCACAGUGUGCCUGCCAUCCCAGCUUUCUGGAGUACUUUUUGGAGUAGCAAAGACGUUGAAUUUCAAGGGAACUGAGGGGAUGUCACAACUGCCCUGUGCUUGAUGUCCUUACCUAAGAGCGCAGUGAGGCACAGGGUGCAUACAUGGCCCAGAGAGAUAUGAGUCAAGAGAAACUGCAUUUCAUCAGCGUGGGACAUCUGUGCAGCUACAGCAGGAUAACAUCAGCCCCGGCAUAUCAAAAAGCUGCAGUCACUGUAGGGCUAGUGACUAUCCUGAGUAGCGCAAAGCAUAAAUUGCAACCAAGAGACAGCCAGGAAAUACAACAUCACCUUGUCCAGUUCACAGUGCAGACCAGAGCUCAGAAAAUUCUGUUAAUGGUGCAAUUUUCCCUUAUUUGAGGUCUGUACAGUAGAACCGGAAAUUACAGGCAAAGGAAAAAAACUACAGAGACGAGUACUGGAAACACACGUCCUGCCUAAACCAAACCAAAAUGACUCAGCAGCUUCUGAGGCUGCUACCGAAGGGGCAAAGAGCUGAGAAAUACUGCGUGUAUAACUGAGCUCGUACACCUUCUCAAUAAAUACUUUCAUAUAGCCA